GAUUAGCUGAGAUAAUGAGUUGGCUGGAGAUGCCAAGAGGACCAAGUUUUGAAAUCAGUGGAAUUCGAGUAUGAUAGCUAAGGAGAUGGAGAAAACACCAGUCUGGAAUACAUUGUCAAACUAAGGCAUGGCAUCAGACAGGAGACGUGUACAACCAUGAUGUAUACUGCCCUAGGACCAUGCCUGGCCUGAUGACUCCUUGCUGUCCCCAGUCCACAUGGUCGUGCUGCUGCCCCAGGUUCAGCUGUUCUUCCUGUGGCUAUGGAACCCUGACCUGUUCACCGGACGUGCUACCUGUCCCGG
Molecule: long non-coding RNA, 303 nt
Filed under: Salmo salar (Atlantic salmon)
Lineage: Eukaryota; Metazoa; Chordata; Actinopteri; Salmoniformes; Salmonidae
Description: lncRNA (ENSSSAG00000112232.1)
Source: RNAcentral